Molecule: ribosomal RNA, 479 nt
Filed under: uncultured bacterium
Lineage: Bacteria
Description: partial 16S ribosomal RNA
Rfam family: Bacterial small subunit ribosomal RNA
Source: RNAcentral
GAUGAACGCUAGCGGGAGGCCUAACACAUGCAAGCCGAGCGGUAUUUGUUCUUCGGAACAGAGAGAGCGGCGCACGGGUGCGGAACACGUGUGCAACCUGCCUUUAUCUGGGGGAUAGCCUUUCGAAAGGAAGAUUAAUACCCCAUAAUAUAUUGAGUGGCAUCAUUUGAUAUUGAAAACUCCGGCGGAUAGAGAUGGGCACGCGCAAGAUUAGAUAGUUGGUGAGGUAACGGCUCACCAAGUCAAUGAUCUUUAGGGGGCCUGAGAGGGUGAUCCCCCAAAAUUGUAACGGGAACCCGACCCGGACUCUAACGGGGGCAGGAAUGGGGGAUAUUUGGACAUGGGUUUGGGGCUGAUUCCACCCAUCCGGGUGAAAGACGAACGGCCUAUGGGUUUUAAAAUUCUUUUGGAUAAGGAUAAACCUACUCUCGUGAGAGUAGCUGAAGGUACUAUACGAAUAAGCACCGGCUAACUCCGUG